GGGGUUGUGGCUCAGUGGUAGAGCACUUGCCUCGCAUACAUGAGGCACUGGGUUUGAUACUCAGCACCA
Molecule: non-coding RNA, 69 nt
Organism: Ictidomys tridecemlineatus (thirteen-lined ground squirrel)
Lineage: Eukaryota; Metazoa; Chordata; Mammalia; Rodentia; Sciuridae
Source: Rfam